UUGAGAGUUUGAUCCUGGCUCAGGAUGAACGCUGGCGGCGUGCCUAACACAUGCAAGUUGAGCGAUUUACUUCGGUAAAGAGCGGCGGACGGGUGAGUAACGCGUGGGUAACCUACCCUGUACACACGGAUAACAUACCGAAAGGGAUGCUAAUACGGGAUAAUAUAUUUGAGAGGCAUCUCUUAAAUAUCAAAGGUGAGCCAGUACAGGAUGGACCCGCGUCUGAUUAGCUAGUUGGUACGGUAACGGCUUACCAAGGCGACGAUCAGUAGCCGACCUGAGAGGGUGAUCGGCCACAUUGGAACUGAGACACGGUCCAAACUCCUACGGGAGGCAGCAGUGGGGAAUAUUGCACAAUGGGCGAAAGCCUGAUGCAGCAACGCCGCGUGAGUGAUGAAGGCCUUCGGGUCGUAAAACUCUGUCCUCAAGGAAGAUAA
This 437-nucleotide ribosomal RNA is filed under the name Clostridioides difficile. Its description in RNAcentral is "bacterial SSU rRNA". It matches the Rfam family "Bacterial small subunit ribosomal RNA", at positions 1 to 451 of the family's 1533-position model. Lineage: Bacteria; Bacillati; Bacillota; Clostridia; Peptostreptococcales; Peptostreptococcaceae. The record is from RNAcentral.